AACGAACGCUGGCGGCAGGCCUAACACAUGCAAGUCGAGCGCACCCUUCGGGGUGAGUGGCGGACGGGUGAGUAACGCGUGGGAACGUGCCCUUCUCCGCGGAAUAGCCUCGGGAAACUGAGAGUAAUACCGCAUACGUCCCUCUGGGGAAAGAUUCAUCGGAGAAGGAUCGGCCCGCGUUGUAUUAGGUAGUUGGUGGGGUAAGGGCCCACCAAGCCGACGCUCCAUAGCUGGUUUGAGAGGAUGGUCAGCCACACUGGGACUGGGACACGGCCCAGACUCCUACGGGUGGCAGCAGUGGGGAAUCUUAGACAAUGGGGGCAACCCUGAUCUAGCCAUGCCGCGUGAGUGAUGAAGGCCUUAGAGUUGUAAAGCUCUUUAAGCUGGGAAGAUAAUGACGGUACCAGCAGAAGAAGCCCCGGCUAACUCCGUG
This 433-nucleotide ribosomal RNA is filed under the name uncultured bacterium. Its description in RNAcentral is "partial 16S ribosomal RNA". It matches the Rfam family "Bacterial small subunit ribosomal RNA", at positions 29 to 507 of the family's 1533-position model. The record is from RNAcentral.